This 411-nucleotide ribosomal RNA is filed under the name uncultured soil bacterium. RNAcentral's name for it is "bacterial SSU rRNA". It matches the Rfam family "Bacterial small subunit ribosomal RNA", at positions 62 to 519 of the family's 1533-position model. The record is from RNAcentral.
UCGAACGAGACCUUCGGGUCUAGUGGCGCACGGGUGCGUAACGCGUGGGAACCUGCCUUUAGGUUCGGAAUAACUCAGAGAAAUUUGAGCUAAUACCGGAUAAUGUCUUCGGACCAAAGAUUUAUCGCCUUUAGAUGGGCCCGCGUUGGAUUAGCUAGUUGGUGGGGUAAAGGCCUACCAAGGCGACGAUCCAUAGCUGGUCUUAGAGGAUGAUCAGCCACACUGGGACUGAGACACGGCCCAGACUCCUACGGGAGGCAGCAGUGGGGAAUAUUGGACAAUGGGCGAAAGCCUGAUCCAGCAAUGCCGCGUGAGUGAUGAAGGCCCUAGGGUUGUAAAGCUCUUUUACCAGGGAUGAUAAUGACAGUACCUGGAGAAUAAGCUCCGGCUAACUCCGUGCCAGCAGCCGCG